GAAAUGCGAUACGUAAUGUGAAUUGCAGAAUUCAGUGAAUCAUCGAAUCUUUGAACGCACCUUGCGCUCUUUGGUAUUCCGAAGAGCAUGUCUGUUUGAGUGUCGCGAAUCUAUCAAAACCCCCUCUGUUUAACUAUGGAGCGCGGGCUUUGGAUUUUGAACCGCCCUUGUCGUUUUGAUUAACGACUGGAUCGAAAAAUAAUAGCCAAUGUUUUAUACUUCUGAAAGUGUUGAACUCGACGUGAUAAUUAUUUCGUUGAGAUGAAUGCGACUCGAAGACAAGGACGGCUUCGAAUGAAAUUUUAAUUUUGCAUUAGACCUCAAAUCAGUCAGGACUACCCGCUGAACUUAA
This 352-nucleotide unclassified non-coding RNA is filed under the name uncultured Basidiomycota. RNAcentral describes it as "sequence contains ITS1". The stretch from base 1 to 105 matches the Rfam family "5.8S ribosomal RNA", at positions 50 to 154 of the family's 154-position model. The record is from RNAcentral. Lineage: Eukaryota; Fungi; Basidiomycota.